UGUCGCUGAGGCUGGCAUCGCUGAGCCCCCGCGCGGGGGGCUGCCGCCCGAGCGCUGAUUGACAGGCCGCCUCGCCAAUGCCUGGAGGGAGAAAGGAGGCUCUUCCUUCGUAGUGUUCACCUGGCCAUCAGCAGUUGUCACCUGUGUGGAAAGAGACCACCACUUUCCCAUCGGCUCCAGCAAAAGUACCAGAAUUGGCCAUCAUUGUCUAAUUGGGUCAGGAUAAUGGGUUAGUUCAUUUGUUCAUUGACCCUUCCACUGUUACGAGCUGUUGGGCCUAUUUCCCUUAAAGUGAAGGGAACUGAAGAACAAGGAAUUGAUGAAAUUUCCCCAAAGUCACAAAGCAAAUCACUGGAGGAUUUAACUCAAGUCAAGGUUCUUCUGUUGAAUCGAAGUAGCAAAUAUACCUUGUAAAGCUUAGUAAAUUUGAUCUUUUAUUCUCCAUUCUUCACUUUGGGCCAAUUUCUAAAAGAAUAUUUCCCUCAAAGAACCGAAAGCACCCUGGACAGAAGUAUGAGCUUGAGAUAUUUAUGAGAAUAAAGUUGGAUAUUAAAGACAGGAGGGAAAAUGGUGGAAAGAAAAAAGUCAUUAAGUGAAAGUUGAGGAGAUGUGGUAACAAGCAAGUCAGAUGGUGGGUUCAGUUUCUGAGAAGAGUCGGCAGGAUCCUCCAGCAAGAUGCAUUCUACCCUCUCUUCAUUUCUUUGUAUGAGUAUUGUACUGCAACAAGACAGGAUGUGUUCAUAUUCUUACUCCAGAGUACCACAGGAGGACCAGCUUCCAUGAAGAAGGUUCUGAAAUGAGCCAGUGACAUACAGUCUUAGACAUCGGCAAUUUGAGGUUUCCUGACAUCACACAUUAGACAAUUUACUGGGAUUUCUACAAGUUAAUCCAUGCCAAAUGUCCGCAACCAAGAAAGCAGGUGGAUUUGACUGAUGUACUGGUUGUUUGGAGUAUUCCAUGGUUUGCUAACAAAGCUCCUAAACCCGUCGAGGAAGAUGGAGUUGAUAGGGCGAGCCUCAUCGUGCCGCGAAGAAGCAGUCUCGGAAGUUGCAGUGUCGCUCUAAGGCGCAGAGGUAACUGAACUGAGACAUAAACCCAGUUC
Molecule: long non-coding RNA, 1102 nt
Organism: Mirounga angustirostris (Northern elephant seal)
Lineage: Eukaryota; Metazoa; Chordata; Mammalia; Carnivora; Phocidae
Exons: 3
Source: RefSeq, a predicted model, not a curated record